UACGUAGGCAGCGAGCGUUGUUCGGAGUUACUGGGCGUAAAGGGUGUGUAGGCGGUUGUUUAAGUUUGGUGUGAAAUCUCCCGGCUCAACUGGGAGGGUGCGCCGAAUACUGAAUGACUUGGAGUGCGGGAGAGGAGAGUGGAAUUCCUGGUGUAGCGGCGAAAUGCGUAGAUAUCAGGAGGAACACCGGUGGUGUAGACGGCUCUCUGGACCGUAACUGACGCUGAGACACGAAAGCGUGGGUAGCAAACAGG
Molecule: ribosomal RNA, 254 nt
Filed under: uncultured bacterium
Lineage: Bacteria
Description: partial 16S ribosomal RNA
Rfam family: Bacterial small subunit ribosomal RNA
Source: RNAcentral